This is a long non-coding RNA of Oncorhynchus mykiss (rainbow trout), 1191 nucleotides long. NCBI's taxonomy places the organism in Eukaryota, Metazoa, Chordata, Actinopteri, Salmoniformes, Salmonidae. The record is from Ensembl.
AUGCUUAACAACCCAGCCAACCUACAAUCUAAACUUGAUGCCCUCAAUCUCACACAAAUUAUCAAUGAACCUACCAGGUACCUCCCCAAAGCCAUAAACACGGGCACCCUCAUAUAUAUCAUCCUAACCAACUUGCCCUCUAAAUACACCUCUGCUGUCUUCAACCAAGAUCUCAGCAAUCACUGCCUCAUUGCCUGCAUCCGUAAUGGGUCAGCGGUCAAACGACCUCCACUCAUCACUGUAAAACGCUCCCUGAAACACUUCAGCAAGCAGGCCUUUCUAAUCGACCUGGCCGGGGUAUCCUGGAAGGAUAUUGGUCUCAUCCCGUCAGUAGAGGAUGCCUGGAUAUUUUUUUUAAAUGCCUUCCUAACCAUCUUAAAUAAACAUGUCCCAUUCAAGAAAUUUAGAACCAGGAACAGAUAUAGCCCUUGGUUCUCCCCAGACCUGACUGCCCUUAACCAACACAAAAACAUCCUAUGGCGUUCUGCAUUAGCAUCGAACAGCCCCCGUGAUAUGCAGCUGUUCAGGGAAGCUAGAAACCAUUAUACACAGGCAGUUAGAAAAGCCAAGGCUAGCUUUUUCAAGCAGAAAUUUGCUUCCUGCAACACUAACUCAAAAAGGUUCUGGGACACUGUAAAGUCCAUGGAGAAUAAGAACACCUCCUCCCAGCUGCCCACUGCACUGAAGAUAGGAAACACUGUCACCACUGAUAAAUCCACCAUAAUUGAGAAUUUCAAUAAACAUUUUUCUGCGGCUGGCCAUGCUUUCCACCUGGCUACUCCUACCCCAGUCAACAGCACUGCACCCCCCACAGCAACUCGCCCAAGCCUUCCCCAUUUCUCCUUCUCCCAAAUCCGUUCAGCUGAUGUUCUGAAUGAGCUGCAAAAUCUGGACCCCUACACAUCAGCCGGGCUAGACAAUCUGGACCCUUUCUUUCUAAAAUUAUCUGCCGAAAUUGUUGCCACCCCUAUUACUAGCCUGUUCAACCUCUCUUUCGUGUCGUCUGAGAUUCCCAAAGAUUGGAAAGCAGCUGCGGUCAUCCCCCUCUUCAAAGGGGGGGACACUCUUGACCCAAACUGCUACAGACCUAUAUCUAUCCUACCAUGCCUUUCUAAGGUAUUCGAAAGCCAAGUCAACAAACAGAUUACCGACCAUUUCGAAUCUCACCAUACCUGUCAGGUGCGUGAAUGA